RNAcentral lists this ribosomal RNA (615 nucleotides) under uncultured bacterium. RNAcentral's name for it is "bacterial SSU rRNA". The stretch from base 1 to 529 matches the Rfam family "Bacterial small subunit ribosomal RNA", at positions 338 to 873 of the family's 1533-position model. The record is from RNAcentral.
CCUACGGGAGGCAGCAGUGGGGAAUCUUGCGCAAUGGGCGAAAGCCUGACGCAGCAACGCCGCGUGCGGGAUGAAGGCCUUCGGGUUGUAAACCGCUUUUAACAGGAACGAAAAUGACGGUACCUGUAGAAUAAGGUGCGGCCAACUACGUGCCAGCAGCCGCGGUGACACGUAGGCACCAAGCGUUGUCCGGAUUUAUUGGGCGUAAAGAGCUCGUAGGCGGUUCGAUAAGUCGGGUGUGAAAACUCUGGGCUUAACCCAGAGACGCCACUCGAUACUAUUGUGACUAGAGUUCGGUAGGGGAGCGGGGAAUUCCUAGUGUAGCGGUGAAAUGCGCAGAUAUUAGGAGGAACACCGGUGGCGAAGGCGCCGCUCUGGGCCGAAACUGACGCUGAGGAGCGAAAGCGUGGGUAGCAAACAGGAUUAGAUACCCUGGCAGUCCACGACCGUAACGGUAGGCGACGUAGGUGGUGGUCGUCCGAACCGAACCGGACGUCCGCGCCGUCGCGUACGACACUAGUCGCCCGCCGUCGGGUAGGUACGGCCGCGAACGUAAACGUACGAAGAAGUAGACGGCGUGAGACGNGCCGACGGACGACGACGAGGGAGGUUAGG